GCCGAAGUGGCGGAACUGGCAGACGCGACGGUCUCAAACACCGUUGAGGGCAACCUCGUGCGGGUUCAAAUCCCGCCUUCGGCACCA
Molecule: transfer RNA, 87 nt
Filed under: Chloroflexota bacterium
Lineage: Bacteria; Bacillati; Chloroflexota
Also listed under: 2 other names
Description: Chloroflexi bacterium tRNA-Leu
Rfam family: tRNA
About the family: Transfer RNA (tRNA) molecules are approximately 80 nucleotides in length. Their secondary structure includes four short double-helical elements and three loops (D, anti-codon, and T loops).
Source: RNAcentral